CCUUCCCACAGGGAAGCGGCGCCGUGAUAGGCUGGACCCUGAGGGCGGAAGUGGCGUCACAGAAUGCCUUCAUGAGGACGGAAACACUCAGUGAUUGGCUCGGAGGAACUCAGGGCAGAAGUGGUGUGCAAGGCUUGCCGGCACUGUGGGCGGAAGCGCCCGGGCCGGGCCGCCGAGGCGCGGUACCGCAACGAGGUUUGUCACAGAGCGUUGCCGGAGUACUGUUUUAUUUGUAUUUGUGAAGACGGCAGAAUGAAAGAUAGCAGCUUGGCGACUCGCACCGAGAUGGUAGACGCCCUGGAUUUAAAGACAGUGUGUAUUAAAUGAAGUAUGAGAAGAAACAGCUUCUUCGGACGCUUGCGCUCCUCUUCAGCUCAUGCAGAAGGCUGACAGCCUGUCUCAUUCUUGUCAGUGCUAUCCCACCAGCUCCUUUAGGAGCUCAGCACCGCAUUUGGCCUGUCGCGAUCUUCCCAAUCCCCUCAUUUCUGUGCUGCAAUGCCACCAUCCACAAGAAGUCAGUGGAUGUACCCAGCAUCACCUUGGGGCUACAUAGAAAGUGAAAAUUUCUAGUAUGUUAAUGUUACUCUGUUAACAAAACUGACGUACUAGCUGCUUGCUGCUUCUAUUUUUUUGUUUUUCUUUUCAGUGGUCUCCUCAAAAGUUGUUGUGAACACAUUGUGUAUCUUUUCUGUUCUUCCAGGAUUCAUUCGUCUGGAAAGACGACCAUGAAAUCUGAGGGCUGUGAACAACUAUCUACCAGAUGAUUGUUGCAGAUGAUUGUUGUCACGUCAUUCAUCCUUUUAGCUUACUCUUUCCUUUAUCUUGAGUUGAAUUUUUGUGCAGCGCUGUGUUUGCAGUGAUAGGAGAAAAGCUCUUUCCGGAGAGAUGGAGAAGGAAUUAAUUAUACCUCUGCCUCAUCCUAUGAGACCAGAAGACAUGGAGUCACUGUAAGCUGUGAUUCUCAGGAGACAUACUAAGAGUCACGGGUUCCUUCUCUGCCU
Oxyura jamaicensis (ruddy duck) is the source of this 1001-nucleotide long non-coding RNA. RefSeq lists it as uncharacterized. Lineage: Eukaryota; Metazoa; Chordata; Aves; Anseriformes; Anatidae. The transcript is spliced from 5 exons. The record is from RefSeq and is a predicted model, not a curated record.